GAUGAAGACGUAGCGAAAUGCGAUAAGUAAUGCGAAUUGCAGAAUUCAGUGAAUCAUCGAAUCUUUGAACGCACAUUGCGCCCGCCAGUAUUCUGGCGGGCAUGCCUGUCUGAGCGUCGUUUCGACCCUCGCGCCCGGCUUCUGUCGGGGGCGGUGUUGGGGAUCGGCCACACCCUUCAGUGGGAGGCCGGCCCCUAAAUUCAGUGGCGACCACGCUGUAGCCUCCCCUGCGUAGUACUAAAACCACCUCGCAGGCGGAGAGCGGUGCGGCCCGCCGUAAAACCCCCCAACUUUUACAAGGUCGACCUCAGAUCAGGUAGGAAUACCCGCUGAACUUAAGCAUAUCAAUAAGCGGAGGA
RNAcentral lists this unclassified non-coding RNA (359 nucleotides) under soil metagenome. Its description in RNAcentral is "partial contains 5.8S ribosomal RNA, internal transcribed spacer 2, and large subunit ribosomal RNA". The stretch from base 1 to 119 matches the Rfam family "5.8S ribosomal RNA", at positions 35 to 154 of the family's 154-position model. The record is from RNAcentral.